GAAGGAGGCAACUGUAAACCACUUCCAUAUUUUUACUAAGAAAACUCUAUGGAUACACUACCAGAACAAUUGCAAAUGCAGGUGGGAAGUUCCAGAAGAAAUAUGUCCAUGGCGUUACUAUGGGUCGGAGAUGACUCGACGGCAUAAGACAAGACAAUAUUCCUCAGAGAAACUGAACAUCAUCAGGAAUUUUUUUGGAGCCCAUGGAUUGCCCAGAACCUUGCUAGCAAUUAUCCAGUUAUCGCAGACAUUGCUGUCAUCAUCUUCAUCACCAUCUUCAGCAGCCACAGCAGCAACAGCAAGAGUUUCUUUGUAAACGUUUUACUUUAUCCAGGUACAUAUAAUUAUGACUGAUUCAAGACAGGUGUCUCUAUUGGCCUUGGAUUCCUGGUCUUCCCAAACCAGAAACCUCUGCAGAUAUAAGAAGAGGAAGGAAAAGUGUGAAUCAGUAUAUUUAGGCAAAAACUUCCAAACUUUGCCAUUCAUGCUAAUUUGGUAAAUUUUCCAGAAGAAAUUCAGAGAUUCCUGAUAUAGGUACCUCCACCCUCAGCCUUGUUCAUGUUGGAGGUUCCAGAGUAUGACUGUAGAUGCACUCAAAGAAGUUCGAAGGAGCUAAGCUUUUCUUCGGGUGGGAGGACUCUGAACCCACUGAGAAUUUGUGGAUUUCUCUGGGAAGUGUAACAGUGACUUGAAUAUAAGAAGUCAAAAGACGAUGCAGCUCACUUCGUGUCCAAGGUGGAUCUGACUCCGGAUGCACAUUUGGGUUUAGUCCUGGAUCAGUCCAGUGUGGUUUGAAGUAGGUUGAUGAGUUCCUAUCAUCAAAUCUAUGUGGAGUUCACAAUGGCACCAGCAUAUUUAGAACUCAAGAACUCUGGGGAGAGAAGAUUGGUCCUGCACUCCUCUAUAAUAUUUGGGUCUGUCCUGGACAAGGAGCCUGGAGUGAACACUGAAGGUUCCAGGCUAAUGGGUUUUCUCUAAAGGGCAUAAAGCAAGGAGCAUUACGAAUAGACCCUGGAAUCUAUUGGAAUUUCUGCUGUGAUAGAAGUUGGUCCUCCAGCCAGUGAUGAGCUGAACCCAUGAAUCUCAGCCUUCCUUGCCUGUAGAGUGCAUCAGAUUAUCUUUGAAUCUGUAAACUAUUCAUCUUCUCAACCAUCCUUUGCCACUGAAAAAAGAAAAACAGAAACCGCAUGAUAGUUGUAUUCCCCCACCUAAUAAAAGGGUCAUUGGCUCUUAAAAUUACAAGGUUUCACCUUAUCUCUUAAUGACAAUGUGGUAUAUCAGUCAAUCAAUUAAUCAAUGGUAUUGUUGAGCAUUUACUGUGUGCAGAGCACUGGACUAAGCACUUUGGAGAGUAGAAGACAAAAGAGUAAGUAUAGAUAAUUCUUGCCCACAGGAAGUAUUUCAUGUGUAUUUAUAGGCAUCACCGUAGAGAACUGCUUAUUUCCUGGGAAAGGUCCAGUGGAAAAGCCUUGGAAUUCUGAAUUCAGUGCACACAUCUCCCUCUCAAUUGCCCCAACUCAUGCCUAUCUGGCUAUUUAUUUCUUUCAGGAUAAAGAAGGAAAUCAGCUGAAUAAUGUAGCAGGUAAACUUCAUUUAUGGCUAUCUAAAUCAGAAAGAGCAUCCAAGGCUACAAAGGUGAUAAAUCCCAGUGCCCAAGAUUGUUAUCUACAGCCCUAAAACUGUCACAAAGUUUCUGGAGAAACAUAAGAUCUUGUAUUUACAAGGUAGACCUUAAUCUCCUUGCCUUUUUUAUUUUUGCCUUUGGUUAUUGUGAUUUUGGUCACAUAAGUAGAGAGAAAUCUCUAGUAUGGUGCACAUAGUCACAUCAAAAGAAGCACUUUUUUGUACAGUGAUUUCAGGUAUUUAAACCAACAAACAAAAAGUAUAGUGAAAACUUUUUCCCAAAAAGGAUUUGCUAAGUUCAUUGGGAGGUAAGAGAUGUCAUCAAUUAUUGGUGAACCCUUAUUCUCUUUCCCAAAAACAUAUAAAUCUUUUAAGCAAGAAAAAUAUUGAGUCCCCACUGAGGAUUUUGCUUUGUUUGUUUCCUAUCCAGAAUAGAGACUACAGGCCCAACUCAUGAAUCUUUAACUCAAGAGAAUGAAAUAUUAUCAAUGCUUUCUUUUUAUUGUAUUUCAAGUUUUGUGUUGGUUAAUGACUGCUCUAGUUUAGCUGUCCAGGUGUGGAAUGUAACUCCACUGAGAAGCCACCACUUUAAAUUUGUCAAGAGCCACUGGUACCAAAGGAAACCUGAGAGCAAUUCAGAUGGAUCUCUGUAGGUUGACACUUGCAGCUCUUGCCCUGGAGAAUGUUUGGCUUCUCAUUCUUUUGAGCCUUUUUGUGCUGUAGGUUUCCAGGCUAAGAUCAGUGCUCUGUCAAAGAUGUGGAUUUUUUGUCUUUCAUGACUUUUAUUUAACCUGCUAUUAGAUUUCAGUAAAAAAUGUUGAGUUUGGGUUAA
Long non-coding RNA from Ornithorhynchus anatinus (platypus), 2455 nucleotides. RefSeq lists it as uncharacterized. Lineage: Eukaryota; Metazoa; Chordata; Mammalia; Monotremata; Ornithorhynchidae. The transcript has 2 exons. The record is from RefSeq and is a predicted model, not a curated record.